Long non-coding RNA from Alligator mississippiensis (American alligator), 581 nucleotides. RefSeq lists it as uncharacterized. The record is from RefSeq and is a predicted model, not a curated record. The transcript is spliced from 4 exons. NCBI's taxonomy places the organism in Eukaryota, Metazoa, Chordata, Crocodylia, Alligatoridae.
GUUUUUUCAAUCCGGGUUUGGAACAGGCUGACGUUGGAGGACCUGUUCAGACGACACUCCUGUAUGAUGAAAACAAGGGAGAAUUGCAGAAAAGAAGAUACGGAAGCAGAACGAGUUCUCGUCUUUAAAAGUCUGCGGCCGAGAAUAGGCAGAGUCACUAAUGGAAUAGAAACUGGUUGGCAUCCAGCCAGAGCGAGAAAGGGAAGAGGGCAAGUGGCAACUCGCAGCAGGCAGCAAACGGCGCUGGAGAUGCAAGCUAGAAUUGUUUCAGUUGUCUAAAGGAAAGUAAUAGCCAUCCACAGGCUUCAGUCUCAAUUGGGCCCUGUUGUGCCAAGCGCUGCGUGGACUUCAAAGCGUUUGUCUAGGACGUAUUCGGAACAUCAAGAACUGGAACUAAUUAGCAGUUGGUUUAGCACUUGGUUAUUUGAUCAACCAAUGACUGGAUCAAAAGUUGAGCAACGUUCAAAGCAUUUUCUUGAUGUCUGUGCAGAGUACAGUACAUCAGACUGCGAUGCUCCUUCCCACUGGAAAGCAAACACCAGAGCUAUAUAUGCUUGGGUUGUUUGGUACCUUACCUUUGG